This 450-nucleotide ribosomal RNA is filed under the name uncultured bacterium. RNAcentral describes it as "partial 16S ribosomal RNA". It matches the Rfam family "Bacterial small subunit ribosomal RNA", at positions 354 to 796 of the family's 1533-position model. The record is from RNAcentral.
GUGGGGAAUUUUGGACAAUGGGCGCAAGCCUGAUCCAGCAAUGCCGCGUGCAGGAAGAAGGCCUUCGGGUUGUAAACUGCUUUUGUACGGAACGAAACGGUCCGGGUUAAUACCCUGGGCUAAUGACGGUACCGUAAGAAUAAGCACCGGCUAACUACGUGCCAGCAGCCGCGGUAAUACGUAGGGUGCAAGCGUUAAUCGGAAUUACUGGGCGUAAAGCGUGCGCAGGCGGUGUUGUAAGACAGGCGUGAAAUCCCCGGGCUCAACCUGGGAAUUGCGCUUGUGACUGGAAGGCUGGAGUGCGGCAGAGGGGGAUGGAAUUCCGCGUGUAGCAGUGAAAUGCGUAGAUAUGCGGAGGAACACCGAUGGCGAAGGCAAUCCCCUGGGCCUGCACUGACGCUCAUGCACGAAAGCGUGGGGAGCAAACAGGAUUAGAAACCCGUGUAGUCC